CAGCAGCCGCGGUAAUACAGAGGGUGCAAGCGUUAAUCGGAAUUACUGGGCGUAAAGCGCGCGUAGGUGGUUUGUUAAGUUGGAUGUGAAAUCCCCGGGCUCAACCUGGGAACUGCAUUCAAAACUGACUGACUAGAGUAUGGUAGAGGGUGGUGGAAUUUCCUGUGUAGCGGUGAAAUGCGUAGAUAUAGGAAGGAACACCAGUGGCGAAGGCGACCACCUGGACUAAUACAGACACUGAGGUGCGAAAGCGUGGGGAGCAAACAGGAUUAGAUACCCCCGUAGUCCCUGUCUCUUAUAC
RNAcentral lists this ribosomal RNA (301 nucleotides) under uncultured bacterium. Its description in RNAcentral is "partial 16S ribosomal RNA". It matches the Rfam family "Bacterial small subunit ribosomal RNA", at positions 509 to 807 of the family's 1533-position model. The record is from RNAcentral.